GUAGGCUAUUUAUUAGUGAUUCAAUUUCAAAUCUCAUUAUUGGUCUGUUCAGGGAAUCAAAUUCUUCUUGACUGAGUAUUGGAAGGCCAAGUCAGUCUGGUUAAGAACCUUUGUUAAAGAACUAAUGUGGUGAUUUGGAGGAUACAGGACACUGGCCUUUUGAAUUGUUGGAGUUCUUGCGUUGGUUCUUUCUCAUCUCUGCAUGUGGCUAUUGCUCCAACUGCUAGGCUGUCGAAGUAGUCAGGCAGCAGCAGCGUGGUUGUGCUGAAGUCUCAGGUCAGGCAGCCCUGCUCAGUGAGGAGAAGUGAGGAUGGGGGCAUGCAUGGAGAACAGUCCAGCUACUUUUCUAUGAAAUGGGUGCUCUGUCCUGGGGGUCUUGACCAGUCCAUAAUCCUGGGUACUCUCCAGAGCCUGGAGACAGCAAGGGCAAGGGCUGUGAGAAAGCAAAGAGGGCAACCUGCUCCUCCUACUGGGUACUCUGUCCCAGGAAGUUGCAGAGUUGCUACUGGCUUGAUAGUUCCAGGUGGAGGUGGCAGAAGACCCAGGUUGGGAAGACCAACCCAGGGAGGAGAUAUGGGAUCAGGGACCCAUGUAACAAGCAGUCAGGCUGCUUUUUCACAGGGCUGCUGCAGUAUGCUGGCAAUCCACUCUAGUCCCUAGUUACCUCAGAUUUUCUAGUACCUGAAGGCAUCUUCAGUGAAGGCUGCAAAACAGCAAAGAUGGUGGCCUGCCCCUCCAUCUGGGAGCUCCACCCCAGGGAGAUACAGAUCUGUUGCCAGCCUGAACACACUGGCAGUGGUGGCUGGAAACCUCGGUAGGGAGCUCCCACCCAGUGGGAAGGAAGGGGAUGAGGGACCUACUUUAUAGAGCACUCUGGCACUUUUCCGUACAGCAGCCGUGCUGUGCUGGGGGGUCUGCUCCAGCCCCCAGUCACCUUAGACUCUCCAAAGCCUGAAGGUGACAGUGGCUAAAGCUGCAAAACAGAAAAGAUGAUGACCCUCCCUUCCCUUUGGGAGCUCCAUCCCAGUGUUAUGUUCUGGGCAUUCAUCUAUCCUCUCAUCAGCUUUUGAUCUACCACAUCUUGGUUGUUACCUUAGAAUUUUGCAACAUAAAUUUACAAUUAAUCCAAACCUGCUUUCAAAUAACACCAUAUCACCACGUAGGUAAGCCAAGUACCUUAUAAUAACAAAAUAUUACUAGCUUCUCCCUUCUGUCCUUAUAGUAUUGUUACAUUCAUUUCACAUAUGCAUAAGCAUGCAUAUAUAUGUGUAUGUAUAUAUAUAUAUAUACACACAUAUAUGUGUACAUAAUUGAAUACACUAUUGCUAUUAUUAUUAUUGUUUUCUGUUAGAUCAACUAAGGAAAAGAAAAGUUAGUAUUUUACCUUUACUUAUGCAUUUUCUGGUGCUCUUCCUUUAUUUAUGUUGAUCUGAAUUUCUGACCUACAUAAUUUUUUCCCUAUGAAGAACUUCUUUUGCAAGGCAGGUUUACUAAUGAAAAAAAAUCCCUUAAUUUUUAUUUUUCUGAGGAAAUCCUUAUUGCUCCUUUACUUUUGAAGAAUAACCUCACAAGGUGCAGAGCUUUAAGUUGGUGGGUUUUAUCUCUUAACACUUAAAAUAUUUUAUCCCACUCUCUUCUUGCUAUGCAGCAAGCUUGCUUGCUUCCUUGUUUCUCAGGAGAAGUCAGUUGUAGUUCUCUGCUCCUCUAUAGGUGAACUGUUCUUUUCCUCUGGUUUCUCCCAAGAUUUUUUUUCAGCUUUGAUUUUCUAAGUUUUUAUAUGAUAAAUGCCUAGAUGUACUUUUUUGGCAUUUAUUCUUCUUGGUAUUUUCUGAGAUUUCUGGAUCUGUAGUUUGGUGUCUGACAUUAAUUUAGGGAAUUUGUAAUUUUUGCGUCCAUAUUGCUUUAGCUCCUAUCUCUCCUUCUUCUCUUUCCAGCAUUAUCAUUAUGUAUAAGUUACAUCUAUUUAUAGUUAUGCCACAGUUCUUGCACAUUGUGUUCUAUUCUUAGCAUUUUAGUCAUAGUUUAAGUUGUUUUUUUUUUUUAAAUUCCUGGUCUGAUAAUUCCAACAUUCCUGCCAUAUCUGAAUAUUGCUCUGAUGAUUGUCAGGUCGCUUCAAACAGUUCUUUUGCCUUUCAGUGUUUCUUGUUAAUUUUUUUAUUACACCUUGUUGAAAGGUAGAUGUGUUGUGCCAGGUAAAAGAAACUUCUAUAAACAGGCUUAUAGUAAUAAAGUGGUAAGAAGGGAGUGGACAGGAAGUGAUGUAUAGUCCUACUAUUACAUCUCAGUCUUACGGUAAUCCCAUGCCUCUGGACUGCAGACUUUUCUCAGUCUCCCUACUCCCCACAUUAGGUGAGACAAAAUGACUAGAUGGGCUACAGUUGGGUAUUUCCCUACCCUUAGGUAGAUUAAGCUCUGAUAUAAUCCCAGCAGGUUAGGUUCUGGUUAAUUAGUUUCUUUUGAGGGUAGGCCUAAUUAAGAAGAAGAGAAUUCUCUGGUGUGUUUCAAAAUGUUUCCUAUUCCCCUUCCCUUGCCAGAGGCAUGAGGGGAUUUUUCUCCAGUAUUCACUGUUAGGAUCUGGUAGAAUUCCUGGAAAUAAAAGUUGUAAGAGUCUGAGGGUCCCCCUAGAGUUUUUAACUCUCAGACUUGUACAUUCUGAGCCUCCAGCUAUCCAUCAACUACUGUUCAGAUUUUUCUAACCCAGCACUGUUGCUAUGAAGGUUUCUACUAACGGAUUUCUACUCCAGUAAGCUGUGAUUCUCUGUAUGCACCUAUCUCUCCAAUUGUUGGGGCAGUAGAUUUGUCCUGAGACCCCACUUGUCUGAUGGAGCUAAGAAGAGUUUUUAAUGUUUUAGUUUGUUCAGCUUUUUAUCUUUUGCUAGGACUGAGUGAAGACUUCUAAACUCCUUAGGUGCUUGACCAGAAACCAGAAGUCUCUAACUUUAUAAACAUACAUACAUUUGGUUUGGUCUGUUUCUUCCCCCUUUGAAUUUCUUUAUUAAACCUGUCAAAUUUUGUCCAGGCUUCAUGAUUAACCUAAAAAUGCUACCUAAUAUCUGACACUUGAUCUCCCAACUUAGACAUAAUUUGUUUUUAUUUUUAAAUUUAUAUCUACUAUAUUUUAAGGUACUUAUUAAUUUUGACUCCUGUGGGAAGUGUACAUGAAGCUAAGCAUGUAUUUAGAUUAAGUGCUAAUUAGUCAGACUUCCCAGAAAAAGUAGGAUUUGAACUGGUUCUGAAAAAUGAGUCAUAUACUGACCAAAUGGUCUCUGACAAAUAAUUUGACAUUUUUGGUAUUUUGAGAACACUAUAUUCAAAAUGCACUUUUAAAUAAGCUUUCUCUUAUGUGCUUUAUAACUGGGGUUGACAAACUACAG
This 3374-nucleotide long non-coding RNA is filed under the name Homo sapiens (human). RNAcentral describes it as "HSALNT0079851". The record is from RNAcentral. Lineage: Eukaryota; Metazoa; Chordata; Mammalia; Primates; Hominidae.